This 2931-nucleotide long non-coding RNA is filed under the name Sarcophilus harrisii (Tasmanian devil). Its description in RNAcentral is "lncRNA (ENSSHAG00000021934.1)". The record is from RNAcentral. Lineage: Eukaryota; Metazoa; Chordata; Mammalia; Dasyuromorphia; Dasyuridae.
GUGACAUGGAAUUCAUUGCACCAGUCCUUGAAAAUGGAGAGAUCCGAACAGGUUGGGUGGAAAAUGCAGUCUGGUUUUAUAAGGUGUUAAAUCAUCUGCUUUUGCUACUGAAAAUGGAAGAUCUCUUCAGAUUUUGUUGAGACAAAAAAAUAAGCAAACAAACCUCUGUUUACAAAGCAGGAAAUGUCUUUAUCACUUUACUGAACAUGGAGGAAGCAACUAUGAUGAAAAGAAAGUGCUUAGCCUUACUAACAAGGAGCAUUUUAGUAGAUUAACUAGUACCAUCUUGUAAGGAAAAUGAAGCCAUGUUGCAUCCAGAUGUUCCCAUUUGCUGAAAUCUCAUGGGACAGUACAAACAUUCUGCAUUUUUAAGUUUGUUAAAACAACAAAUUCCUUUUUGCCUUUAAGGGCUAUGGUUUUUGGUGUGAUCCUAAGCUAACUUUCUUUCAAAAUCAAGUUUGCUAUUUCAGAGCUUUAAUGUUGACAUUUAAAAAAAUUGAAUAACCAUGUGAAACAAUUCUGGCUUAAAGAUAGGAUAUAUGUUAUAGGAUAAUGAGUAAGGGAUGAAAAAGCUUUUAUCUCUAAUUUUCCUGAUGUACUCUACAAAGGUUCUCCUGCAACAGUUUUGCCCUGAUUACUGAAGUGGCAAAUAGAGUGGGAGUGAAUAUUUUGUUUUGAAAAGGUGCUCAAGCUCUGACAUUUUUAGUUUUCAUAGCCGUGAAGUAUUUAUCAUUUGCAUGACUAAUGGCACAGAAAUACCUAUUCAGAGUUUUACAAUCAAGUGUAAAUGAUUUUUUUCAAUUUUAAGCUUCAGAGUUUUAAAUACUAAAGAGUUUACCUUGAGUUGGCCCUCUGUAGAUAAAUUUGGCUUUCAAAAAUGCAACAUCAUUGAGCCUGUGGUCUACUUGCCACCUUGCAUUUCAUUGGUGUCACAAUCUCAUGCAGUAGCUAGUCUUUUGUUAGGUAAUUGAGAAGAUGUGUGCUAUAUGUGUGCAUAUGUAUGUUAUUUGCCUUCUAAAACUUGACACAAACUUGAGAGACACUAGCCUCUUCUAAAAAUCUGUACUUAGAUGUGUCUGAAAGAUUAUAUUAGCUUUAUUUCUGAAAUGAUGUUAGAACAAUUUUGAAUUGAACAAAUUCCCAUGUUUUAUGUAAUUAAUUUAUAUCAGAGUAUUUAGUGACUGACAAAAAUUCAGCAGAUAGACAAGACAGGUCAGAUUAUUCUCAAGCAAAUUUCCUCUUUUCUGAGAAAAUGGAAGGAAUGUACAUGUAAAAGUCAAUAUUUAGUCUUCAACUUUUCUGUAUUUUUAGUCUCAAGUUACUUUCUUUUAUGUAGACUUCAUUACCCUCAAUUUUGAAGCACCUUGUUCAUAUAAAAUUUCAGUCCUUUAUACUGAACCCAAUUUUAAGACCUAAGUAUCCAGGAGAAUUGAAGAUAUCAAGAAUACCACUUAUCUCCUGUGUAGAAGUAUGUGCCAGUGGAUUAAAUUUCACAUCCUAUAACUUUUUAAAAUUUCCCUAUUUUACAUAUUUCCAGAUUCAGAUAAUUGAAUAGCAUUGAUAGUUCAAAAUGCAUUUAGGUGUACUCUGUAAAGAUCCUACAGUCAUGCCAUAGAUUGCUAUGCAGACGAUAGAAAUGGGCAAAAAUAGCAGGAGGGAUCUUGCAAAAUCUAAAGAGCAAAGAAUUAUCUAAAAUUUCAAUCAUGUAGUUAAGAAUUUGUUACAUAAAAAGUCAGAUGGGCCUUUUGAUGUCCACAUCUUUAGUAAUCAGUGAAUUGGCCACCUGGUCGUGUGUUUCAUCACAGUCCUACGUGUUUAGUGACAAAACAACAUCUAUUGUCACACACAAAAAUGUGAAUGCUGUUGUGCUCUCUGUCUUGUGGUUCUCAAAUUCUGAUGCUUUCUUGGUAUUUCAUCUGAUGAGAACAUAGUUUGGCUUGAUUGAAUGAGAUGUUGGCAAAAAGUUUGAGAACAGGAAGACUAACCUUAAGGGGCCACGUGAAAGAAUUAGUGGCCAUCUUUUCCAGCAAAGGUUAGUAACCUUGGCUCACUCUCUUUUGUACCCUGAUCAGACUAGCAAUUAUUGUCAAUGGAAAUUUUUCUAACAUGCCUUAAAAAUAUUAUUGUUUGAUCCAAAGACCCACUUUUACUUUAGCUGUUCUUGUAAGGUUUUAUACUUUCUUACAAAAACGGCAUUUUUUUUAAGUUUUACUGAUUUUUCCUUUAAUGUUGCAAGUUUAAUUCUUGUAAGCUGUAAUAGUGAUGGUAACUGUUGCCUUUCAUUUUGUUCAGCCUGUGCAGAACCAAGCCAGCAUCUAUCUGAUCAAAAGUAUUACACAAAAGUCUUUCUUAAACAUUUGAAAGGUGCUUUGAUCACAUUUUUCUUUGGUUUAUACAAUUAGAAUUAGUUUUUCUGACUAGUAGAACCACAGUUGCCAUCACUUAUUUAUGGGAAAACUACUGGUAUCUGCUCUCCUGUGUAAAGAAUGUUGCCUAAAGAUGUCUGCCAUUUGUUUUUUCAGAGGAUUGUAUGUAUGUGAGACUAUGUGUGCAUGUGUGUACGUAUGUGGAUUUUUAUUAUUGUUAUUAUUUUGUUCUGAUCAGUGUCCUAUCUUGGCACUGAUUAGGCUUUAAUUGUGAAGCUCCCCAACCAAUCAAAUGUUAAAAGAUGAUGGGAGGUUUUUGUUUUUGUUUUUGUUUUUUCUGUUUUUCUGUGUCAUUGUGCAUAUGUUAAAUCUCGAUCAGGGUUUCAAGAGUGACUGCAGUGGGUUUUGGAAACAGACUUAACAUUAUUGAUUUGGGGUUUCCCAGAGAUUAAUUAAAGAUAGUUCACAGUUAAUUGUUGAGCUCUAAUACAACUGACCAUUUAAAAUUGAACAACAGUUUAUUGUUUUGUAACAGUGUCAGUUGUUAAACCUCGCUGUUUGGGAU